UACGGAGGGGGCUAGCGUUGUUCGGAAUUACUGGGCGUAAAGCGCGCGUAGGCGGGCUGGAAAGUUGGGGGUGAAAUCCCGGGGCUCAACCCCGGAACUGCCCUCAAAACUAUCAGUCUGGAGUUCGAGAGAGGUGAGUGGAAUUCCGAGUGUAGAGGUGAAAUUCGUAGAUAUUCGGAGGAACACCGGUGGCGAAGGCGGCUCACUGGCUCGAUACUGACGCUGAGGCGCGAAAGCGUGGGGAGCAAACAGG
This 253-nucleotide ribosomal RNA is filed under the name uncultured bacterium. RNAcentral's name for it is "partial 16S ribosomal RNA". It matches the Rfam family "Bacterial small subunit ribosomal RNA", at positions 524 to 776 of the family's 1533-position model. The record is from RNAcentral.